GGCCAUAGCUCAGUGGUGGAGCACCUGCUUUGAGUGCAGAAGGUCCCAGCUUCAAUUCACAGAAUCUCCAGGCAGAGCUA
Podarcis lilfordi (Lilford's wall lizard) is the source of this 80-nucleotide non-coding RNA. The record is from the annotation of a GenBank genome assembly. NCBI's taxonomy places the organism in Eukaryota, Metazoa, Chordata, Lepidosauria, Squamata, Lacertidae.